UUCCCUGUAGCGCAAUGAAUAGCGCGUUGGACAUCUAAUUCCAAAGGUCGUGGGUUUGAAUCCUACCUGGGAUG
This is a non-coding RNA of Trichonephila clavata, 74 nucleotides long. NCBI's taxonomy places the organism in Eukaryota, Metazoa, Arthropoda, Arachnida, Araneae, Nephilidae. The record is from the annotation of a GenBank genome assembly.